Molecule: ribozyme, 131 nt
Filed under: unclassified sequences
Description: Hairpin ribozyme 1 from viruses-like metatranscriptomes
Rfam family: Hairpin ribozyme 1 from viruses-like metatranscriptomes
Source: Rfam by way of RNAcentral
GUCCUGUCCUCUAGGAUGAAGCACUAGGCGAGGUUGCGGAAAGACUCCGCUGGCUUCAGGGUGUGUGCCUAGAGAGAAGGAUUGCCGGUGAAACAUGCUCGCCCGCCGAAGCGAGUAGCACAUUACCCGGU